This 135-nucleotide ribosomal RNA is filed under the name Candidatus Rokuibacteriota bacterium. RNAcentral describes it as "Candidatus Rokubacteria bacterium partial 23S ribosomal RNA". It matches the Rfam family "Bacterial large subunit ribosomal RNA", at positions 2794 to 2925 of the family's 2925-position model. The record is from RNAcentral. Lineage: Bacteria; Candidatus Rokuibacteriota.
CCGCCUGAAGAUGAGACCUCCCGGGGCGUAAGCCCCCUGAAGGGCCCUGGUAGAUGACCAGGUUGAUAGGCCGGAGGUGUAAGCGCCGUGAGGCGUUCAGCUGACCGGUACUAAUCGCCCGUGCGGCUUGACCAC